This 464-nucleotide ribosomal RNA is filed under the name uncultured bacterium. Its description in RNAcentral is "partial 16S ribosomal RNA". It matches the Rfam family "Bacterial small subunit ribosomal RNA", at positions 29 to 507 of the family's 1533-position model. The record is from RNAcentral.
ACGCACGCUGGCGGCGUGCUUAACACAUGCAAGUCGAACGGAAAGGCCCUGCUUGCAGGGUACUCGAGUGGCGAACGGGUGAGUAACACGUGGGUGAUCUGCCCUGCACUUCGGGAUAAGCCUGGGAAACUGGGUCUAAUACCGGAUAGGAGCCAUUUUUAUGGUGAUGGUUGGAAAGUUUUUUCGGUGUAGGAUGAGCUCGCGGCCUAUCAGCUUGUUGGUGGGGUAAUGGCCUACCAAGGCGGCGACGGGUAGCCGGCCUGAGAGGGUGGACGGCCACAUUGGGACUGAGAGACGGCCCAGACGCCUACGGGAGGCAGCAGUGGGGAAUAUUGCACAAUGGGCGCAAGCCUGAUGCAGCGACGCCGCGUGGGGGAUGACGGCCUUCGGGUUGUAAACUCCUUUCGCUAGGGACGAAGCUUUUUGUGACGGUACCUAGAUAAGAAGCACCGGCUAACUACGUG